This 87-nucleotide transfer RNA is filed under the name Erysipelothrix sp. RNAcentral's name for it is "tRNA-Leu". It matches the Rfam family "tRNA". From Rfam's summary of the family: Transfer RNA (tRNA) molecules are approximately 80 nucleotides in length. Their secondary structure includes four short double-helical elements and three loops (D, anti-codon, and T loops). Further hydrogen bonds mediate the characteristic L-shaped molecular structure. tRNAs have two regions of fundamental functional importance: the anti-codon, which is responsible for specific mRNA codon recognition, and the 3' end, to which the tRNAs corresponding amino acid is attached (by aminoacyl-tRNA synthetases). tRNAs cope with the degeneracy of the genetic code in two manners: having more than one tRNA (with a specific anti-codon) for a particular amino acid; and 'wobble' base-pairing, i.e. permitting non-standard base-pairing at the 3rd anti-codon position. Lineage: Bacteria; Bacillati; Bacillota; Erysipelotrichia; Erysipelotrichales; Erysipelotrichaceae. The record is from RNAcentral.
GGGGAUAUGGCGGAAUAGGUAGACGCAACGGACUUAAAAUCCGUUGAAGGCAACUUCGUAAGGGUUCAAGUCCCUUUAUCCCCACCA